AGCGAACGCUGGCGGCAGGCUUAACACAUGCAAGUCGAGCGGGCGUAGCAAUACGUCAGCGGCAGACGGGUGAGUAACGCGUGGGAACGUACCUUUUGGUUCGGAACAACACAGGGAAACUUGUGCUAAUACCGGAUAAGCCCUUACGGGGAAAGAUUUAUCGCCGAAAGAUCGGCCCGCGUCUGAUUAGCUAGUUGGUGAGGUAACGGCUCACCAAGGCGACGAUCAGUAGCUGGUCUGAGAGGAUGAUCAGCCACAUUGGGACUGAGACACGGCCCAGACUCCUACGGGAGGCAGCAGUGGGGAAUAUUGGACAAUGGGCGCAAGCCUGAUCCAGCCAUGCCGCGUGAGUGAUGAAGGCCUUAGGGUUGUAAAGCUCUUUUGGCGGGGACGAUAAUGACGGU
Molecule: ribosomal RNA, 404 nt
Filed under: uncultured bacterium
Lineage: Bacteria
Description: bacterial SSU rRNA
Rfam family: Bacterial small subunit ribosomal RNA
Source: RNAcentral